RNAcentral lists this transfer RNA (78 nucleotides) under Shewanella sp. OMA3-2. RNAcentral describes it as "tRNA-Asp". It matches the Rfam family "tRNA". Rfam says of the family: Transfer RNA (tRNA) molecules are approximately 80 nucleotides in length. Their secondary structure includes four short double-helical elements and three loops (D, anti-codon, and T loops). Lineage: Bacteria; Pseudomonadati; Pseudomonadota; Gammaproteobacteria; Alteromonadales; Shewanellaceae. The record is from RNAcentral.
GGAGCGGUAGUUCAGUUGGUUAGAAUACCGGCCUGUCACGCCUGGGGGUCGCGGGUUCGAGUCCCGUCCGCUCCGCCA